Molecule: unclassified non-coding RNA, 497 nt
Filed under: uncultured Glomus
Lineage: Eukaryota; Fungi; Glomeromycota; Glomeromycetes; Glomerales; Glomeraceae
Description: SSU rRNA
Rfam family: Eukaryotic small subunit ribosomal RNA
Source: RNAcentral
CCAAUAGCGUAUAUUAAAGUUGUUGCAGUUAAAAAGCUCGUAGUUGAAUUUCGGGAUUAGUACGUUGGUCGUGCCUUCGGUACGUACUGGUGUUACUGAUUCCUACCUUCUGACGAACCAUCAUGUCAUUAAUUUGGUGUGGCGGGGAAUCAGGACUGUUACUUUGAAAAAAUUAGAGUGUUUAAAGCAGGCUCGCGCUUGAAUACAUUAGCAUGGAAUAAUGAAAUAGGACGUUGACCCUAUUUUGUUGGUUUCUAGGAUUGACGUAAUGAUUAAUAGGGAGAGUUGGGGGCAUUAGUAUUCAAUUGUCAGAGGUGAAAUUCUUGGAUUUAUUGAAGACUAACUACUGCGAAAGCAUUUGCCAAGGAUGUUUUCAUUAAUCAAGAACGAAAGUUAGGGGAUCGAAGACGAUCAGAUACCGUCGUAGUCUUAACCAUAAACUAUGCCGACUAGGGAUCGGAUGAUGUUAUUUUUAAUGACUCAUUCGGCGCCUUACG